GGAAGGAUCAUUAACACGAUUUAUCAUUCAAAACAAAUGUGAACAACACAAAACAAAAAGCAGUAGGCACAGGAAUAAGGAUUAGAGGAUCCCUUAUUUCUCCUCUUCUGUGUUUGGUUGUCUUUAAUGACACUGAACGAAAGGAAUCCGAGUUGUUUUGGAGCAAUCUAAAACAAUUUUCAACCUCUAACCUUUUUUAACUUUUUUUAACCACAAUUUACCUGUUGUCUAAACAAAUAGUCAAUAGUUUAAUAUUGACUCUAAAACUUUAAAAGCUUUACAACUUUUAGCAACGGAUUUCUUGGUUCUCGCAACGAUGAAGAACGCAGCGAAAUGCGAUACGUAGUGCGAAUUGCAGAAUUCAGUGAAUCAUCGAAUCUUUGAACGCAAAUUGCGCUUCCUGGUUCUCCAGGGAGCAUGCCUCUUUGAGUAUCGUUACUAACAAUACUCUUCCCACUUUUUGUGUGGGUAAGGAUUUGAGUGUUCAUUCUGUUGUUAAAAUGGAAUGUCUCUCUAAUACGUUAAGUCUUGACGGUGAGCGCUUUAAAAUCUUUUCUUUUAAAGACUUUGGUGCUCUAUCUCAACAAGCUAUGCUUUAUUGCGUUACUUUUGAUUUAGAGAUUACUUUAAGUUCUUUAAAUGCGGAUUUUAUUGAUGUCUUUGCCAACGAGCUUGUUUAAACGAAGGAAUAAUUGAAUCUCGCAAGAGAUUUGAUUAGUUUGAUCUCAAAUGAGGUAAGAGGACCCGCUGAAUUUAAGCAUAUUAAUAAGCGGAGGAAAAGAAACUAACAAGGAUUCCCCUAGUAACGGCGAGUGAAGCGGGAAGAGCUCAACUUGAAAAUCGGAGGUCUUUUAGAUCUUUGAAUUGUAGUCUAUAGAAGCAAUAUCCGCAGUGGCCCAGGUCUAAGUCCUUUGGAACAAGGCGUCAAAGAGGGUGAGAACCCCGUUUUGGGCUUGGAGUCUGCUGUGUACGAUAUGCCUUCAACGAGUCGGGCUGUUUGGGAUUGCAGCCCUAAAUGGGUGGUAAAUUUCAUCUAAAGCUAAAUAUAGGCGAGAGACCGAUAGCGAACAAGUACCGUGAGGGAAAGGUGAAAAGAACUUUGAAAAGAGAGUUAAAAAGUGCAUGAAAUUGCUAAAAGGGAAGCGAUGGAAACCAACACUGUGCUUGGUAACGUUUGCAGAUGUUCAUGUAGUUUCUGUGUGCGCUGAGGUUAAACCUGUGCAUGUAGUUUCUCAUGUGUGCAUCUGUGUCCCGUUAUCAGGUUUAACAAGUCAAAAUCAAUUCUUUUUAAUGCCAGUAGAACGCUUAGAGGGAGGUACCAGGAAUCCAUGUACUUGGUGAACUGGGUUAUAUCCUUUAGGUAUCACUGGCGAGAGGAUUGAGGACUGCCAUAGCAUGCUCUUCGGGGCAGUGCUUCUGGUUCCCUGUCUCGCUUAGGUGGGAAGGAUAACAAAGUUAUGCUUUCUUCCCUAAGUGUGCAUUGGUUCUAGGAGUAUCUAAUGCUUUUUGGUGAUUUUGACGCAAUGGUUUUUCACCGACCCGUCUUGAAACACGGACCAAGGAGUCUAACGUAUAUGCGAGUAUUUGGGUGUGUCAAACCCUGAUGCGCAAUGAAAGUGAAGGCCUUCGGGCUGAGGUGGGAGUCCUUUAACCUUUGGGUGGGGAUGCACCAUCGACCGAUCGUCCACUUGUGGAAGAUUUGAGUAAGAGCAUAUCUGUUGGGACCCGAAAGAUGGUGAUCUAUGCCUGGACAGGGCGAAGCCAGGGGAAACUCUGGUGGAGGCUCGUAGCGAUACUGACGUGCAAAUCGUUCGUCUGAUCUGGGUAUAGGGGCGAAAGACUAAUCGAACCAUCUAGUAGCUGGUUCCCUC
This 1871-nucleotide unclassified non-coding RNA is filed under the name uncultured fungus. Its description in RNAcentral is "sequence contains 18S rRNA gene, ITS1, 5.8S rRNA gene, ITS2, 28S rRNA gene". The stretch from base 721 to 1871 matches the Rfam family "Eukaryotic large subunit ribosomal RNA", at positions 1 to 961 of the family's 3401-position model. Lineage: Eukaryota; Fungi. The record is from RNAcentral.